This is a regulatory RNA element of 228 nucleotides. It matches the Rfam family "T-box leader". From Rfam's summary of the family: Uncharged tRNA acts as the effector for transcription antitermination of genes in the T-box leader family. T-boxes are found upstream of many aminoacyl-tRNA synthetase genes and some amino acid biosynthetic genes usually in Gram-positive bacteria. The record is from Rfam.
AUAAAAGCCUUGACGAGAAAUAGUAGUUAGUUACGGCGUCGUAGGGACGGGUGUCACCGAUUGAAAGCACCCUGGCGACCAAGAUUGACGAAUUCACUCUCUGAGCUGAAAUUGGGCGUUUGUGUAAACAAAUAAUUUUCCGGUAUCCCGACCGUUAUGACGGGUAGUGAGUGUGCAUAGUGACUACUAUGCAAACAAGGGUGGUACCGCGAUGACCUCGUCCCUUUU